AACGAACGCUGGCGGCAUGCCUAACACAUGCAAGUCGAACGAGAUCUUCGGAUCUAGUGGCGCACGGGUGCGUAACGCGUGGGAAUCUGCCCUUUGCUUCGGAAUAACAGUGAGAAAUUACUGCUAAUACCGGAUGAUGUCUUCGGACCAAAGAUUUAUCGGCAAAGGAUGAGCCCGCGUAGGAUUAGGUAGUUGGUGGGGUAAUGGCCUACCAAGCCGACGAUCCUUAGCUGGUCUGAGAGGAUGAUCAGCCACACUGGGACUGAGACACGGCCCAGACUCCUACGGGAGGCAGCAGUGAGGAAUAUUGGACAAUGGGGGAAACCCUGAUCCAGCAAUGCCGCGUGAGUGAUGAAGGCCUUAGGGUUGUAAAGCUCUUUUACCAGGGAUGAUAAUGACAGUACCUGGAGAAUAAGCUCCGGCUAACUCCGUG
RNAcentral lists this ribosomal RNA (433 nucleotides) under uncultured bacterium. Its description in RNAcentral is "partial 16S ribosomal RNA". It matches the Rfam family "Bacterial small subunit ribosomal RNA", at positions 29 to 507 of the family's 1533-position model. The record is from RNAcentral.